CGUAGGGGGCAAGCGUUGUCCGGAUUCAUUGGGCGUAAAGAGCUCGUAGGCGGCUCAGUAAGUCGGGUGUGAAACCUCCAGGCUCAACCUGGAGACGCCACCCGAUACUGCUGUGGCUAGAGUCCAGUAGGGGAGCGUGGAAUUCCUGGUGUAGCGGUGAAAUGCGCAGAUAUCAGGAGGAACACCAGCGGCGAAGGCGGCGCUCUGGGCUGGAACUGACGCUGAGGAGCGAAAGCGUGGGGAGCGAACAGGAUUAGAUACCCUGGUAGUCCACGCCGUAAACGUUGGGUACUAGGUGUGGGGUCUUAUCAACGGAUUCCGUGCCGAAGCUAACGCAUUAAGUACCCCGCCUGGGGAGUACGGCCGCAAGGCUA
This 374-nucleotide ribosomal RNA is filed under the name uncultured organism. RNAcentral's name for it is "bacterial SSU rRNA". It matches the Rfam family "Bacterial small subunit ribosomal RNA", at positions 526 to 896 of the family's 1533-position model. The record is from RNAcentral.